RNAcentral lists this transfer RNA (70 nucleotides) under Pica pica leucoptera. RNAcentral describes it as "tRNA-Trp". It matches the Rfam family "tRNA". From Rfam's summary of the family: Transfer RNA (tRNA) molecules are approximately 80 nucleotides in length. Their secondary structure includes four short double-helical elements and three loops (D, anti-codon, and T loops). The record is from RNAcentral. Lineage: Eukaryota; Metazoa; Chordata; Aves; Passeriformes; Corvidae.
AAGAACUUAGGUUUACUUAAACCGAAGGCCUUCAAAGCCUUAAACAAGAGUUAAACCCUUUUAGUUUCUG